UAUAGCCGAGAGGCGAAGCCGAUGGAAAGCUGGUUAAUACUCCAGCACCUAUUAUUACUGCGAUGGGGUGACGGAGAAGCGUAAAGUCCGCCAACUUACGGAAUAGUUGGUUAAAGUGCGUAGGUGUUGAUUCAGUAGGCAAAUCCGCUGAUGAACUGAAACAUGAUAGUACUCAGAUCCUUUCGGGGUGAAGAGAUAGUGGCUCCAAGCAUACUUCCAAGAAAAACCUCUAAGCUUCAGGUAAUAACAGCCCGUACCGUAAACCGACACAGGUAGUCGAGGAGAAUAUCCUAAGGCGCUCGAGUGAGUCAUGGCUAAGGAACUAGGCAAAUUAGUCUCGUAACUUCGGGAAAAGAGACCCCCACUUCGGUGGGGCGCAGAGAAAUGGCCCAGGCGACUGUUUAGCAAAAACACAGGACUCUGCAAAAUCGAAAGAUGACGUAUAGGGUCUGACACCUGCCCGGUGCCGGAAGGUUAAGGAAGGGGGUUAGCGCAAGCGAAGCUCUUGACUGAAGCCCCGGUAAACGGCGGCCGUAACCAUAACGGUCCUAAGGUAGCGAAAUUCCUUGUCGGGUAAGUUCCGGCCUGCACGAAUGGUGUAACGAUCUGGCACUGUCUCAGCCAUGAGCUCGGUGAAAUUGAAGUAUCGGUGAAGAUACCGGUUACCCGCCACGGGACGAAAAGACCCCGUGCACCUUACUAUAGCUUCACAUUGUGCUUGAAUAUAAGAUGUGUAGGAUAGGUGGGAGACUUUGAAGCGGCCACGCUAGUGGUUGUGGAGUCAACGUUGAAAUACCACCCUUCUUCUAUUUAGGUUCUAACCCCGUACCCACGGGGGACAGUGUGUGGUGGGUAGUUUGACUGGGGUGGUCGCCUCCUAAAGAGUAACGGAGGCUUGCAAAGGUGCCCUCAGCAUGGACGGUAAUCAUGCGAAGAGCGUAUUAGUAUAAGGGCGCUUGACUGAGAGAGCGACGGCUCGACCAGGUACGAAAGUAGGCUAAAGUGAUCCGGUGGUUCCGCAUGGAAGGGCCAUCGCUCAAAGGAUAAAAGGUACGCCGGGGAUAACAGGCUGAUCUCCCCCAAGAGCUCAUAUCGACGGGGAGGUUUGGCACCUCGAUGUCGGUUCGUCACAUCCUGGGGCUGAAGAAGGUCCCAAGGGUUCGGCUGUUCGCCGAUUAAAGUGGCACGUGAACUGGGUUCAGAACGUCGCAAGACAGUUCGGUCUCUAUCUGUGGUGGGCGUUGUAAUAUUGAAGGGAACUGACUCUAGUACGAGAGGACCGAGUUGGACGUACCUCUAGUGUAUCUGUUGUGCCGCCAGGUGCAGCGCAGAGUAGCUAUGUACGGACUAGAUAAGCGCUGAAAGCAUCUAAGCGCGAAGCUAUCCUUAAGAUGAGUAUUACUGGGGUCGUAGAAGACGACUACGUUGAUGGGCUAUAGGUGUAAGCGUAGUAAUACGUUCAGCUGAGUAGUACUAAUUACCCCUUAGCUUC
Molecule: ribosomal RNA, 1492 nt
Filed under: metagenome
Description: bacterial LSU rRNA
Rfam family: Bacterial large subunit ribosomal RNA
Source: RNAcentral